Dendronephthya gigantea is the source of this 159-nucleotide long non-coding RNA. RefSeq lists it as uncharacterized. Lineage: Eukaryota; Metazoa; Cnidaria; Anthozoa; Malacalcyonacea; Nephtheidae. The record is from RefSeq and is a predicted model, not a curated record. The transcript has 3 exons.
CCAUAUGUAUGUUAGAAAUGCCUUCAGUUAUGGCAAGACUGCUCCCACAAUAUCUGGAAAAGUUUACUAAACUUUCGCCAACGACUCAAGUUGCCAUACCACUGCUAGGAUUUCCCUCUGAUACUCUCAAUACACUGUAGCUCUUGCUGAUAAUGUCAU